GGGAAGUGAUGUUUAAAGACUUAUUCCAUUUCCGAAGCAAGUUGUGGAGUAAAACAUAGUGAUCCC
Molecule: small nucleolar RNA, 66 nt
Organism: Polypterus senegalus (gray bichir)
Lineage: Eukaryota; Metazoa; Chordata; Cladistia; Polypteriformes; Polypteridae
Product: small nucleolar RNA SNORD98
Exons: 1
Source: RefSeq, a predicted model, not a curated record